Molecule: transfer RNA, 73 nt
Filed under: Candidatus Stackebrandtia faecavium
Lineage: Bacteria; Bacillati; Actinomycetota; Actinomycetes; Glycomycetales; Glycomycetaceae
Description: tRNA-Thr
Rfam family: tRNA
About the family: Transfer RNA (tRNA) molecules are approximately 80 nucleotides in length. Their secondary structure includes four short double-helical elements and three loops (D, anti-codon, and T loops).
Source: RNAcentral
GCUGGAGUGGCUCAAUUGGCAGAGCAGCCGCCUUGUAAGCGGCAGGUUGUGGGUUCGAGUCCCAUCUCCAGCU